This 278-nucleotide ribosomal RNA is filed under the name uncultured Oscillospiraceae bacterium. Its description in RNAcentral is "partial 16S ribosomal RNA". It matches the Rfam family "Bacterial small subunit ribosomal RNA", at positions 511 to 788 of the family's 1533-position model. The record is from RNAcentral. Lineage: Bacteria; Bacillati; Bacillota; Clostridia; Eubacteriales; Oscillospiraceae.
GCAGCCGCGGUAAUACGUAGGGGGCAAGCGUUAUCCGGAUUUACUGGGUGUAAAGGGAGCGUAGACGGCAAUGCAAGUCUGAUGUGAAAACCCGGGGCUCAACCGCGGGAUUGCAUUGGAAACUGUAUAGCUUGAGUACUGGAGGGGCAGGCGGAAUUCCUGGUGUAGCGGUGAAAUGCGUAGAUAUCAGGAGGAACACCGGUGGCGAAGGCGGCCUGCUGGACAGAGACUGACGUUGAGGCUCGAAAGCGUGGGGAGCAAACAGGAUUAGAUACCCC